Molecule: ribosomal RNA, 499 nt
Filed under: uncultured microorganism
Description: bacterial SSU rRNA
Rfam family: Bacterial small subunit ribosomal RNA
Source: RNAcentral
GAGUUUGAUCAUGGCUCAGGAUGAACGCUGGCGGCGUGCCUAAUACAUGCAAGUCGAGCGAACGGACGAGAAGCUUGCUUCUCUGAUGUUAGCGGCGGACGGGUGAGUAACACGUGGAUAACCUACCUAUAAGACUGGGAUAACUUCGGGAAACCGGAGCUAAUACCGGAUAAUAUUUUGAACCGCAUGGUUCAAAAGUGAAAGACGGUCUUGCUGUCACUUAUAGAUGGAUCCGCGCUGCAUUAGCUAGUUGGUAAGGUAACGGCUUACCAAGGCAACGAUGCAUAGCCGACCUCGAGAGGGUGAUCGGCCACACUGGAACUGAGACACGGUCCAGACUCCUACGGGAGGCAGCAGUAGGGAAUCUUCCGCAAUGGGCGAAAGCCUGACGGAGCAACGCCGCGUGAGUGAUGAAGGUCUUCGGAUCGUAAAACUCUGUUAUUAGGGAGAACAUAUGUGUAAGUAACUGUGCACAUCUUGACGGUACCUAAUCAGAAAG